This 763-nucleotide ribosomal RNA is filed under the name uncultured bacterium. RNAcentral's name for it is "bacterial SSU rRNA". It matches the Rfam family "Bacterial small subunit ribosomal RNA", at positions 46 to 791 of the family's 1533-position model. The record is from RNAcentral.
GCCUAAUACAUGCAAGUAGAACGCUGAAGAGAGGAGCUUGCUCUUCUUGGAUGAGUUGCGAACGGGUGAGUAACGCGUAGGUAACCUGCCUUGUAGCGGGGGAUAACUAUUGGAAACGAUAGCUAAUACCGCAUAACAAUGGAUGACACAUGUCAUUUAUUUGAAAGGGGCAAUUGCUCCACUACAAGAUGGACCUGCGUUGUAUUAGCUAGUAGGUGAGGUAACGGCUCACCUAGGCGACGAUACAUAGCCGACCUGAGAGGGUGAUCGGCCACACUGGGACUGAGACACGGCCCAGACUCCUACGGGAGGCAGCAGUAGGGAAUCUUCGGCAAUGGGGGCAACCCUGACCGAGCAACGCCGCGUGAGUGAAGAAGGUUUUCGGAUCGUAAAGCUCUGUUGUAAGUCAAGAACGAGUGUGAGAGUGGAAAGUUCACACUGUGACGGUAGCUUACCAGAAAGGGACGGCUAACUACGUGCCAGCAGCCGCGGUAAUACGUAGGUCCCGAGCGUUGUCCGGAUUUAUUGGGCGUAAAGCGAGCGCAGGCGGUUUGAUAAGUCUGAAGUUAAAGGCUGUGGCUCAACCAUAGUUCGCUUUGGAAACUGUCAAACUUGAGUGCAGAAGGGGGGAGUGGAAUUCCAUGUGUAGCGGUGAAAUGCGUAGAUAUAUGGAGGAACACCGGUGGCGAAAGCGGCUCUCUGGUCUGUAACUGACGCUGAGGCUCGAAAGCGUGGGGAGCGAACAAGGAUUAGAUACCCUGGU